Prinia subflava (tawny-flanked prinia) is the source of this 3220-nucleotide long non-coding RNA. RefSeq lists it as uncharacterized. NCBI's taxonomy places the organism in Eukaryota, Metazoa, Chordata, Aves, Passeriformes, Cisticolidae. The transcript is spliced from 2 exons. The record is from RefSeq and is a predicted model, not a curated record.
CUUCUUUGUAAUGACGAGCCUGGACCCAAUCAAACUCCUGAGGGUUUGUGUAGGUGAGUCAGCAGCAGGGGCCUCACUGCUCUGACAUCCACAGUGCCAGGGGAGUGUGGAACAGCCUCCUGCUCCAGAGGGAAUGGACUGGAUGAUACGGGAAGAAGGGGAAAUAAAAAAUAAAUCAAAAAUUUGCAUGCAUAAUCAUUUGGCUGCUCCUAAACUCGGUUUGGGGAGGGCACAGAGCUGACCCACACAGGCUGCUGAUCUCCAUCAGCACGUGUGUGACGAGUUCUUCAUUGCUCGCACGUUUUCCCUUUUCCCAAGUGUUGGAGCAGGGAGUUUGUGCAGGUGCCUGGCUGUGGGAUCCCCCAGCUGUCCCAGCAAUGCAGAGCCUGAAUUCUCACCUCUGCUUCCCUGAGGUGUCUCUUUUUGGGUGGUGUUGAACUUCCCUGUGAGCAGGUUGGAGUCAGCGCUGCAGCCAAGCACAGGGAAGGUGCUGUGGGCAGCAGAGCUGGGAUCCUUCCUGGCAGAAAUAUCUUGCAGCAUCCCAGAGCUUCCUGAGGUCUGCAGCAAACAUCUGGGCCAAAAUUGGGAAAAUCAAGAUGGAUACAGAGGCCAGGAUUCCUGGGUGGCUGAGGGAGCUGAACCUUGUUCUUCACAUGGAGGUGGUAAAGCAAGAGCCUGCUCUGACCUGGGAAAAUUGAGAAUAAACACAGCCCUUGAUGAGUCUGCAGUGCAGGGGGAUCUGAGCAGGGCUGGGACUCAUGCCUUUUCCCAGCAAUUAACUUAAAAAUAGAGUUGAAGUUGAAAUAUGCUUUGAAGGUCAGAAUAUCAGGUCAGUGUGUGUCUGAUGGUUUUUCCUGGGUAAGGUGUUGAGAGAGGACAAAAUAUUCUUCAUUUUCAAAGUCACUCUGCUGGCCAUAGAAUCUGUGCAGAAAAUGACUUUUCUUUGUAUUCCCUGCUGCAGGAAAAAGGGACAUUAACUCCACAUAGCCAUUUUCUGGUCUGCUUUUUGUUCGAGUCAACAGCUGCUCUGUCACGUUUGAUACUGUGGUUUCACAAAGUUUUGCAGUGACCUUAUUUACCUGUUUUUCUAGAUAAAAAUCUCCACCACAGUUGCUAACUGAUCUUGAGCUUAAUGACUGCCUUAGGGAGAGGCAGUAAUCACUUUACUCCUGCAUGUUUUAACCUCUUCCUCAGCCUGCUUCAAUCAGAAAUGUUUAGAAGUGGAUUAAGAUUUACUACAUGAACAGGAAGCUUCAGACUAUACACUCAGAAAUUAUUCAUGCAAACUCCAAAUACUUUAUUUACAUCUUUAAGAACUUCCAUGUAAUUUCUGCUUUCAUAAUCCAGCAUUCUGCCAAAUCCUUUCCAGUAGUGGUGGGGACUGUUUGGAUGGUUAUACACAAUUUUCUUCUGAGAAAUGGAAGGUCUGGCAGGUGAAAAGACAGACUGAAAAUCUGUGCAAGUGUAGUGGGUAUAGAGAGUUCUUCCUCAUUUUAGAUUUGACUAAAUUUGAUAUUGGGGAGUUUGCAGCCACAGGGAGCUGUCUUUAAAAACAAAACAAAGCAAAAACUGACCAAAACAAUCACUCUGUGUUUUGGUUCCUUCACUUCCCUUUGUUGUACUGAAACCUUCUUUAAAAGCCUUGAACCUGAUAUUUAAGAUGACUCCCCUACUCAUUUAAAUGAGCCAAGUAAAUAGUAAAACAUCUCAUUAUUGAAUUAAUUUGUAUUACUUCUCUACAUGGGAUCUCUCUAGCUCCGUGGUGCACUUGGUAAAUUUAAAAGCUCGUGUUCCCACACAGAGAUUAUUUGCUUGAUCUCUGCCUCCUGCCAAAAAGCUGCUUCAAAACUCCUAUUUUAAAAUUCAUAGUGAAGCAUGAGAGGGGGGAGCAUUCAGUGGGUUUGGAUUUUUUCGUUUUGUUUGUGGUUUUGUUUUUUUCUUUUAAUAUUGCCAUCCUCAAGUUGUGUUGCUCUCAGCAGUGAAGUGUCUGGCUGGCUCUGUACAACAGUGACAGCCAAGAAGUUUUUCCCUCCCUCGGAUGCUCCAAGCAGGGCUGACACAGAGCAGCUCCCAAUAUUUCCCUCACAAUGCUGUCCCAGUGCUGUCCCUUUUUAAAACCAAAUUAUUUGCACAAGAAAUUCUGGACUUUUUUUUUCCCCCUCUGUUUCUUUCCCCUCGUUGCCUCUCAAGUCUGGGGUUGGGUGAGAUUUGCUCCUUCUACACAGCCCUGUUAACUCUGUCCCUGCAGUGGAUUCCUGCCAAGGAGGAGCCCGAGCCAGGAGCAGUCUGCCAGUCUGAAGGUGAGUUCCCUGCAGACAGCAGAUGAUGAAAUCCAUCUCUGCACUUUUCAUUCUUACAGCAUUUUUAAGUGGAUUGUGUUUAAGGGUUAUACUGCUUUUAAGGCAAGGAUUGGUCUAUUUUGCUUCAUGUUUUUGUUGUUUAAAGAAUGUCUCCUCUGUUGUUUGUCUGGUUUAUCUGUGGCUAGUUUUAGCAGGAUUCCCUUUCCAGUAUAACAUUGAAAAUUGGUGUGUUGUUUGUAGUAGGGAAUCAUAGGAAAAUUCAGGUUGGGAAAGCCCUCCCAGACCACUGAGUCCAGCAAUCCCCACCUUGUCCCCAGCCCAGAGCUCUGAGUGCCACAUCCAGGAAUUCCAUGGGAACCUCCAGGGAUGGGCACUCCAAACCUGCCUGGGCAGCCCCUGCCAAUCCCUGAGCCCCCUUUCCAUGGGGAAAUUCCUGCUGGUGUCCACCCUGAGCCUCCCCUGGCCCAGCCUGAGGCCUUUUCCUCUUGGAGCAGAGCCCGACCCCCCUGAGCCAUUUGGGAAAAACCCCUGGAAAGCUGAGGAGAGAGUCCACGUGUCCUGGGGAGAUACCUGACCUUAGUGCAGAAACCCCGGUCAGGAGGACUCCCAGUCCUCAGGAAUUGCCAAGAUCAGGCUGUAACAACUACAGCUGGCCCAGAGGAAGAGUGUGAAUGAAAGUCAGGGUGGUGUUUGCAUCCAGCAAACGUGACUGGGCUUGUUUCCUCCAGGGUGAUUCCAUGUGCAUCCCUGAGCUGACAGAUGGAUACUCCAAAGGGCUUCAGACAUCAUUUGCUCCCAGUUCCUUCUGUCCAGUGACCUGCUGCUGGUGGCUUGGUUUAGGAGGAAUCCUGGUGGCUGAAGAACCUUUUCUCACGUGCAGAUCUAUCUUGUCAUGGGAAUCUCCAUGGGGUGAAAUCUUU